ACUGACAGCCAUGGUUACCGCGGCUGCUGGCACGGAGUUAGCCGGUGCUUCUUCUGUGAGUGAUGUCCUUCCUGCCGGCUAUUAACCCGCAGGCCUUCUUCCUCACUGAAAGUGCUUUACAACCCGAAGGCCUUCUUCACACACGCGGCAUGGCUGGAUCAGGGUUGCCCCCAUUGUCCAAUAUUCCCCACUGCUGCCUCCCGUAGGAGUCUGGGCCGUGUCUCAGUCCCAGUGUGGCUGAUCAUCCUCUCAGACCAGCUACGGAUCGUCGCCUUGGUGAGCCGUUACCUCACCAACCAGCUAAUCCGACAUAGGCUCAUCCGAUAGCGCGAGGCCCGAAGGUCCCCCGCUUUCCCCCGUAGGGCGUAUGCGGUAUUAGCCUGGGUUUCCCCAGGUUAUCCCCCACUACCGGGCAGAUUCCUAUGCAUUACUCACCCGUCCGCCGCUCGCCACCAGGGAGCAAGCUCCCCGUGCUGCCGCUCGACUUGCAUGUGUUAGGCCUGCCGCCAACGUUCAAUCU
Molecule: ribosomal RNA, 520 nt
Filed under: uncultured bacterium
Lineage: Bacteria
Description: partial 16S ribosomal RNA
Source: RNAcentral